CCUACGGGAGGCUGCAGUGGGGAAUAUUGGACAAUGGGGGAAACCCUGAUCCAGCAAUGCCGCGUGUAUGAUGAAGGUCUUCGGAUUGUAAAGUACUUUUAUGGGGGAGGCGGUACCCCAUGAAUAAGCUCCGGCUAACUUCGUGCCAGCAGCCGCGGUAAUACGAAGGGAGCUAGCGUUGUUCGGAAUAACUGGGCGUAAAGGGCGUGUAGUGGAUUGAUGCGUUAGAUGUGAAAGCCCCGGGCUCAACCUGGGAAUGGCAUUUAAUACGGUUAAUCUAGAGUGCGAGAGGGGAAAGCGGAAUGGCGAGUGGAGCAGUGAAAUGCAUUGAGAUUCGCUAGAACACCAGAGGCGAAGGCGGCUUUCUGGCUCGUACUGACACUAAGACGCGAAAGCGUGGGGAGCAAACAGGAUUAGAUACCCUUGUAGUC
This 431-nucleotide ribosomal RNA is filed under the name uncultured bacterium. Its description in RNAcentral is "partial 16S ribosomal RNA". It matches the Rfam family "Bacterial small subunit ribosomal RNA", at positions 338 to 795 of the family's 1533-position model. The record is from RNAcentral.